RNAcentral lists this transfer RNA (88 nucleotides) under Mucilaginibacter phenanthrenivorans. Its description in RNAcentral is "tRNA-Ser". It matches the Rfam family "tRNA". Rfam says of the family: Transfer RNA (tRNA) molecules are approximately 80 nucleotides in length. Their secondary structure includes four short double-helical elements and three loops (D, anti-codon, and T loops). Lineage: Bacteria; Pseudomonadati; Bacteroidota; Sphingobacteriia; Sphingobacteriales; Sphingobacteriaceae. The record is from RNAcentral. RNAcentral also lists the same sequence under 3 other names.
GGAGAGGUGUCAGAGUGAUCGAAUGUGCCUGAUUCGAAAUCAGGUGUACUGCAAGGUACCGGGGGUUUGAAUCCCUCCCUCUCCGCCA